UAGGGAAUCUUCGGCAAUGGGGGCAACCCUGACCGAGCAACGCCGCGUGAGUGAAGAAGGUUUUCGGAUCGUAAAGCUCUGUUGUAAGAGAAGAACGUGUGUGAGAGUGGAAAGUUCACACAGUGACGGUAACUUACCAGAAAGGGACGGCUAACUACGUGCCAGCAGCCGCGGUAAUACGUAGGUCCCGAGCGUUGUCCGGAUUUAUUGGGCGUAAAGCGGGGGCAGGCGGUUUAAUAAGUCUGAAGUUAAAGGCAGUGGCUUAACCAUUGUUCGCUUUGGAAACUGUUGAACUUGAGUGACGAAAGGGAGAGUGGGAUUCCAUGUGUAGCGGUGAAAUGCGUAGAUAAAUGGAGGAACACCGGUGGCGAAAGCGGCACUUUGGUCUGUAACUGACGCUGAGGCUCGAAAGCGUGGGGAGCAAACAGG
RNAcentral lists this ribosomal RNA (429 nucleotides) under bacterium. RNAcentral's name for it is "partial 16S ribosomal RNA". It matches the Rfam family "Bacterial small subunit ribosomal RNA", at positions 355 to 776 of the family's 1533-position model. The record is from RNAcentral.